UACGGAAGGGGCUAGCGUUGUUCGGGAUUACUGGGCGUAAAGAGCGCGUAGGCGGCUUACCAAGUUGGGGGUGAAAUCCCGGAGCUCAACUCCGGAACUGCCUUCAAAACUGGUAGGCUCGAGUCCGGAAGAGGGGCGUGGAAUUCCCAGUGUAGAGGUGAAAUUCGUAGAUAUUGGGAAGAACACCGGUGGCGAAGGCGGCGCCCUGGUCCGGUACUGACGCUGAGGCGCGAAAGCGUGGGGAGCAAACAGG
Molecule: ribosomal RNA, 253 nt
Filed under: uncultured bacterium
Lineage: Bacteria
Description: partial 16S ribosomal RNA
Rfam family: Bacterial small subunit ribosomal RNA
Source: RNAcentral